RNAcentral lists this ribosomal RNA (253 nucleotides) under uncultured bacterium. Its description in RNAcentral is "partial 16S ribosomal RNA". It matches the Rfam family "Bacterial small subunit ribosomal RNA", at positions 524 to 776 of the family's 1533-position model. The record is from RNAcentral.
UACGUAGGUGACCAGCGUUGUCCGGAUUUACUGGGCGUAAAGAGCGCGCAGGCGGUCGUUCAAGUCGAGUGUGAAAGCCCCCGGCCCAACUGGGGAGGGUCACUCGAUACUGAUCGACUGGAAGGCAGGAGAGGGAAGCGGAAUUCCCGGUGUAGUGGUGAAAUGCGUAGAUAUCGGGAGGAACAUCAGUGGCGAAGGCGGCUGCCUGGCCCAAUACUGACACUCAGGUGCGACAGCGUGGGGAGCAAACAGG